GACGAACGCUGGCGGCGUGCUUAACACAUGCAAGUCGAACGGAAAGGCCCUGCUUUUGUGGGGUGCUCGAGUGGCGAACGGGUGAGUAACACGUGAGUAACCUGCCCUUGACUUUGGGAUAACUUCAGGAAACUGGGGCUAAUACCGGAUAGGAGCUCCUGCUGCAUGGUGGGGGUUGGAAAGUUUCGGCGGUUGGGGAUGGACUCGCGGCUUAUCAGCUUGUUGGUGGGGUAGUGGCUUACCAAGGCUUUGACGGGUAGCCGGCCUGAGAGGGUGACCGGCCACAUUGGGACUGAGAUACGGCCCAGACUCCUACGGGAGGCAGCAGUGGGGAAUAUUGCACAAUGGGCGGAAGCCUGAUGCAGCCACGCAGCGUGCGGGAUGACGGCCUUCGGGUUGUAAACCGAUUUCGCCUGUGACGAAGCGUGAGUGACGGUAAUGGGUAAAGAAGCACCGGCUAACUACGUG
RNAcentral lists this ribosomal RNA (468 nucleotides) under uncultured bacterium. RNAcentral's name for it is "partial 16S ribosomal RNA". It matches the Rfam family "Bacterial small subunit ribosomal RNA", at positions 28 to 507 of the family's 1533-position model. The record is from RNAcentral.